Molecule: ribosomal RNA, 394 nt
Filed under: uncultured bacterium
Lineage: Bacteria
Description: bacterial SSU rRNA
Rfam family: Bacterial small subunit ribosomal RNA
Source: RNAcentral
AACGAACGCUGGCGGCGCGCUUAACACAUGCAAGUCGAACGAGAAGGCGUAGCAAUACGCUUGUACAGUGGCGAACGGGUGAGGAAUACAUGGGUAACCUACCCUCGAGUGGGGGAUAACCCGCCGAAAGGCGGGCUAAUAUCGCGUACGCUUCCGAUCUUGCGGGAUUGGAAGGAAAGCUGUCCCUUGGGGAUGGCGCUCAAGGAUGGGCUCAUGUCCUAUCAGCUUGNGGUAGGGUAACGGCCUACCAAGGCAUCGACGGGUAGCUGGUCUGAGAGGACGAUCAGCCACACUGGCACUGCGACACGGGCCAGACUCCUACGGGAGGCAGCAGUGAGGAAUAUUGCGCAAUGGGCGAAAGCCUGACGCAGCGACGCCGCGUGGGGGAUGAAGU